AAAUCCGUAUGUUGAGAUCCUAAUCCCCAAGGUGAUGGUAUCAGGAGGUAGAGUUUGGGGGAGCUGAUUGGGUCGCAAGAGCGGAGCCCUCAUGAAUGAGAUGAGCGUUCUUACAAAAGUGACCCCAGAGAGCCCUCUCACAUGAGGAGACAACGAGAAGCUGGCAGUCUGCAGUCUGCAUCUGGGAAGAGCGUCCUCACCAGAGCGGACCACGCUGGCACCUGACCUUGGACUUCUGGCCGCCAGAACUGCGAGAGAUAAAUUUCUGAUGUUUAUAAGCCACCCAGUCCACGGAACUUUGUUACGGCAGCCCAGAUGGACUAAAGACAGGCACACCGGAUCCCUGACUUCAUGGUGCUUACAGCUGAACCAGGAAGUCAUCAGGAAGAGACUGUGAUUUGAGACAAUGGGGGAGGAGGAGGAGCCAGGGAAAACAUCGGUGAGAAGAGACAGGUGGGAUGAGAAAAAGAAAAAUCCUACUCCCCAAAGAUGGUCACUUAGAACCAGGAAAGGUUUGUCUCACUCUGAAAAUUACCAAAACCAAGAUGAAACCCUACCUCUCAUGCUACAUAUUUAAUAUAACCCUCAAAACAAUUUUCAGCUAUCCCCAUUGGAUAAAUGAAGAAGCUGAAACUCAGAGAGGUAAAGUGAUUUGCCUGAAGUCACACAGCUUGAGCAUGACAGAGCAGGAUUUAAAUCCAGGACUGUCUGAUUCUCUCUUCUACAGCUUGACUCUGCAGCUAGCCAGAUGCCGCACCUCCUUUCCCCAGCCUCAGUUUCCCUGCCCAUCGAGAUGAAGACCAGGAACAGAAGCGUAUGGAAGCAUUUGAAUCAACAGUGUGGCUACAUCUCCCUAGGAGAAAGGCUUUGUUUGGCACCCAUUUAACAGAUGAAGAAACUGAGGCACAGCAAAACACUUCUCCCUGCGGGUCCCCGGCAGCGCCCCGUCCUGGCCCGGCCGCUGGAGCCAUGCUCCGUGCCAAGCCCCUCUCCAGAACCUCAGCCACACAUGCCCCUCACUGCCUCUAUUUUUGCAGGUGAGAAAACAAGAGUCUCAAAGACGUCAGGUCAGUUGCCUAAGGUCACACAGUCGGCCAGCUACUACAGGCACUAUACUGUGUUCUCCUACGCUACUAGACUGCUGAUAAAAAUUACAGUAACUCCCA
Molecule: long non-coding RNA, 1166 nt
Organism: Panthera uncia (snow leopard)
Lineage: Eukaryota; Metazoa; Chordata; Mammalia; Carnivora; Felidae
Exons: 3
Source: RefSeq, a predicted model, not a curated record